CAGCGCCACAAGUGGUGAUCAUAUUAUUGGGUCUAAAGCGUCCGUAGCCGGUUUGGUAAAUCUCUUGUGAAAUUGUUAGGCUUAACCUAACAACGUGCAGGAGAAACUGCCAGACUAGGAACCGGGAGAGGUUAGGAGAAUGCUGGGGGGAGCGGUAAAAUGCUAUAAUCCCCAGUGGACUACCAGUGGCGAAGGCGCCUAACCAGAACGGGUUCGACGGUGAGGGACGAAAGCUAGGGGAGCAAUCCGGAUUAGAUACCCGAGUAGUCC
RNAcentral lists this ribosomal RNA (270 nucleotides) under uncultured archaeon. RNAcentral describes it as "partial 16S ribosomal RNA". It matches the Rfam family "Archaeal small subunit ribosomal RNA", at positions 477 to 747 of the family's 1478-position model. The record is from RNAcentral.